CACGUAGGGCGCAAGCGUUGUCCGGAAUUAUUGGGCGUAAAGAGCUCGUAGGCGGCCUGUUGCGUCCGCUGUGAAAGCCCGGGGCUUAACCCCGGGUCGGCAGUGGAUACGGGCAGGCUAGAGGUAGGUAGGGGAGAAUGGAAUUCCCGGUGUAGCGGUGAAAUGCGCAGAUAUCGGGAGGAACACCGGUGGCGAAGGCGGCUCACUGGCCCGGUACUGACGCUGAUGUGCGAAAGCGUGGGGAGCAAACAGG
Molecule: ribosomal RNA, 253 nt
Filed under: uncultured bacterium
Lineage: Bacteria
Description: partial 16S ribosomal RNA
Rfam family: Bacterial small subunit ribosomal RNA
Source: RNAcentral